RNAcentral lists this small RNA (591 nucleotides) under Pongo abelii (Sumatran orangutan). RNAcentral's name for it is "retained intron". The record is from RNAcentral. Lineage: Eukaryota; Metazoa; Chordata; Mammalia; Primates; Hominidae.
AGCUGGAAUUAACUGAGAUGGCCAGGUUACUACCAGUGCAGGAGAAUUUUCUUCUUAAAUUCCAGGGAAUCAAAAUGUGUGGGAAAGAGUUCAAUAAGGCUUUUGAGCUGUAUGAUCAGGUAAAAGUUUGUUACUUUUUCCUUUCUUUUUUAUUGAAGUAAGAACACAACAUAAGAUCCUCUUAAAAAAUUUAAGUAUAAAAUACAAUACUGCAAACUAUAGAGACAAUCUUGACAGCAGAUCUUUAGAAUUUAUUCAUCUUAUAUAAUUGAGACUUUAUGCCCAUUGGUGAAUAACUCCUCAUUUCUCCUUCCCCCAGCCCUGGCAAUAACAUUCUACUUUAUGAGUCUGACUAUUUUAGAUACCUCAUACAAGUGGCAUCAUGCAGUAUUUGUCUUGUACUGAGAUUGAUUGAUCAUAUGCAGUUCUAUUUUUAAUUUUUUGAGGACUCUCCACACUGUUUUUCAUAGUGGAUGCACCAUUUUUGCAUUCCCACCAAUGUAUACAAGAGUUCCAAUUUUUCUUCAUUCUCACUAACACUUGUCUUUUAUCUUUUUGAUAAUAGCCAUUCUAACAGGUGUGAGGAGAUAU